This 482-nucleotide ribosomal RNA is filed under the name uncultured bacterium. Its description in RNAcentral is "bacterial SSU rRNA". It matches the Rfam family "Bacterial small subunit ribosomal RNA", at positions 29 to 506 of the family's 1533-position model. The record is from RNAcentral.
UUGAACGCUGGCGGAAUGCUUUACACAUGCAAGUCGGGCGGCAGCGCGGGGGCAACCCUGGCGGCGAGCGGCGAACGGGUGAGUAACAUAUCGGAACGUACCCAGACGUGGGGGACAACUAGUCGAAAGACUAGCUAAUACCGCAUACGUCCUGAGGGAGAAAGCGGGGGAUCGCAAGACCUCGCGCGUUUGGAGCGGCCGAUAUCUGAUUAGCUAGAUGGUGGGGUAAAGGCCCACCAUGGCGACGAUCAGUAGCUGGUCUGAGAGGAUGAUCAGCCACACUGGAACUGAGACACGGUCCAGACUCCUACGGGAGGCAGCAGUGGGGAAUUUUGGACAAUGGGCGCAAGCCUGAUCCAGCCAUGCCGCGUGUGUGAAGAAGGCCUUCGGGUUGUAAAGCACUUUCGGCCGGGACGAAAUCGCUCGGGUUAACACCCAGGGUGGAUGACGGUACCGGAAGAAGAAGCACCGGCUAACUACGU